GAUCAUACAGACAUAUAUUUGAUGAUAGAUGUAGAGCAUUGGUCAUAAUGAUAAUGUAAUGCUGUUGAUGUUAUAGCCUGAUUCCAUAAAUCGGGCUGUAUUUAUUAUAUUUCCUGAAUAUUAAUAAAGUAUGAAGAACCCUAAACAGAGUGUUGUUAUACGAGUCUUAAAACCACCCUGUUAUAUUGGCGCCCAACGUGUGUUUCUGGUGGAUUAAAGAAACAGAAUUUGAUGACAUUUUCCGAAGCUGAAGCUGUUUUACUACGCAUUACAAUAUACAGAACAUUACUGGUGUAAAUAGAGUUCACCUACAGUUAUGUUGUAUAUGAUUGAAUUUAAAC
RNAcentral lists this long non-coding RNA (341 nucleotides) under Mytilus galloprovincialis (Mediterranean mussel). The record is from RNAcentral. Lineage: Eukaryota; Metazoa; Mollusca; Bivalvia; Mytilida; Mytilidae.